UUCAUCACAAUGUGCAAUAAGACGACAUCGCGUUGCAAAAUAGCUUGCUGUAAACGAUCACCGUGGAAAUAUCGUAAACAUCGAUGGUCAAGGAUUUUCCACGUCUCUUCCCCAAUGGCGUUGCUCUAUCUAUCGAUUAUCGGCAACGUGUUUUCUCCUCGUCGCACGCGUCUUUCCUUCGAGAAUAUUUCACGUUUUCGUAUCCGUAGCAGCUGGAAAUAAAUUUCCAUUUUUAGUGGAAACACUGCGCCGCGACUUUGACCUUGCAGCUACUCCACAUUUCUAUCUUCGUCCAUAUGACAACGGUGUGCAGACGUUUUUAGCCGGACACAUGUUUCAGCUUGCGUUCCAAGAUCGAGGGAAAAAUCUAUCCUAAACUUUUGCACGUCGCUGUACCUAUACGUACGUGGAUGAAAUAGUUCGUACGAUAGAAAGGGUAUGGGUGAGUUCACCGAUAUCGGUUGGAUCGUGAACGAGUUUCCAAAGUGCUGUGUCGGGGCGAGAGAAACGCCUGGGUCCGUAACAUACUUCUUAACCCCGAAAAAACGGUAAAAGGUAUCGAAUCCGUUCGAAUAGCAAUAAAUAUUUGGGAGAUCGCAACGCCGGAAGUGAAUCGUAUAAAAUACGUAUUGAUUAGAAAGAGGCGGCCAGAGAGGUGGGGCCAUUUGUCCAUUUAAUGGCGAAGAUCUUGACAAAAGGUCUACAAAUCCCUCGUGGAACGAGCGGCGCAUCGCGGGAUAAAGGAAAGUAAUGGAAAGCGGACAGUAAAUCUAGAGCAAAGCAGCAGCGGCAACUUCCUGGAAAAUUUCAAGUAUUUAUAGUUGCGCACGUAGGCAGCACCGAGUGCCAAGCUUUGGCUGACGACUUGGCUACCCAUCUCCGGAAGAGACAACGAAAAUAUCGCGCACAGCAACCUUCUCGCUCGCAGGUAAAUAUAAAAUCCUGCGGGCAAGGUGCACAAGGUGUGUCCCGAGCUUAGACUAGAGCUAACACACCCUCGUAUAUAAUGAUGAAAGGAACAAAAGUGAACAAGUCGAGAAAUAGAAACGGGCGAAAGAACCGUAGUAAUAAGGUAUGAAGAGAAAUCGAGGGCAAGGGACACAAACGAGACGGUGCUCGAAUGCUGGAAAAAAACGGCCUCGAGAGGCUGCAGAUGGGAAGAAGAAAGAAAAGGAUACGAUGUGGAGAAGGACGGUGAGGGAAUCAAAGGAACUCGGAGCAACGCAUACGAGAGACCCGAACACCUAGCGCAAAUUGAAAGGACAGAACAGGGACACGAUACGACAGAAUAGUAAAAGGAAGGUACCGCGGGAAAUGCAGAGUAUUAAGAAAGGAAAGCGAAGCAGAGUAGCCGAAGAAUAUAGUGGAAAAGGAAUGAAUUAAUAAGGUAAAGUUACGUUGGAAGAGGGGAGGAAACGGUGGAAGGUCUCGUAGAAGAAUGCUGAGGAAUUGAGAGAGAAGUAGAAUUAACCGGAAGAAUGAUCGUGCGGAGACAAAGGGUAGGAAAAGUAAAGGGACGAGGAAAAUAGUAGAAAGGAGAAGGAAAUAGCUGAAUAGGUUUCGCGAGUAUUUUAAGUAUUCGAAGUAUUGUAAUUACGUUACAUGACUUUGACGUAUCGCUUUGCUACGUGUACACACCUGUCCAUGGUCACCGGACAUCUUAAUAAAAUUUGGAUGCAAGUCGUUUUAAACGUAAUUAACAUUAACCAUACUCAGGAAUUAUAUAAUAACUCGUAAAGAGAAUAUUUCCACCUCGCUGCGACAGAUGCCAUCAAUGUCCUCUGACUCUUCAACGUAUAUCGACUUUAUCGCGAAGAAAUUGAAACCCCAGCAAAUCUGGCCGUACUUCCCAAAUCGCUAAAGAAAUCCCUCUGCGAUACGUAGAACGUCGAAAACCUCGAAUUUAUUCAAUGCGAUAAACACCUCUACGAAUCCAUCCAACUAUCACCGUGAUCCCUUAAAUAAACAAA
Molecule: long non-coding RNA, 1970 nt
Organism: Bombus pyrosoma
Lineage: Eukaryota; Metazoa; Arthropoda; Insecta; Hymenoptera; Apidae
Exons: 4
Source: RefSeq, a predicted model, not a curated record